This 425-nucleotide ribosomal RNA is filed under the name uncultured Actinomycetes bacterium. RNAcentral describes it as "bacterial SSU rRNA". It matches the Rfam family "Bacterial small subunit ribosomal RNA", at positions 233 to 671 of the family's 1533-position model. Lineage: Bacteria; Bacillati; Actinomycetota; Actinomycetes. The record is from RNAcentral.
GCGGCCUAUCAGCUUGUUGGUGAGGUAAUGGCUCACCAAGGCUACGACGGGUAUCCGGCCUGAGAGGGCGACCGGACACACUGGGACUGAGACACGGCCCAGACUCCUACGGGAGGCAGCAGUGGGGAAUAUUGGGCAGUGACGCAAGUCUGACCCAGCGACGCCGCGUGAGGGAUGAAGGCCUUCGGGCUGUAAACCUCUUUCAGUAGGGAAGAAGCGAAAGUGACGGUACCUACAAAAGAAGCACCGGCUAACUAUGUGCCAGCAGCCGCGGUAAUACAUAGGGUGCAAGCGUUGUCCGGAUUUAUUGGGCGUAAAGAACUCGUAGGUGGUUUGUUACGUCGGAUGUGAAACUCUGGGGCUCAACCCCAGACCUGCAUCCGAUACGGGCAGACUAGAGUGUGGUAGGGGAGACUGGAAUUCCU